This 450-nucleotide ribosomal RNA is filed under the name uncultured bacterium. Its description in RNAcentral is "partial 16S ribosomal RNA". It matches the Rfam family "Bacterial small subunit ribosomal RNA", at positions 338 to 795 of the family's 1533-position model. The record is from RNAcentral.
CCUACGGGUGGCUGCAGUAAGGAAUAUUGGUCAAUGGGCGCAAGCCUGAACCAGCCAUGCCGCGUGAAGGAUGACGGCCCUAUGGGUUGUAAACUUCUUUUGUACGGGAAAAAACCUCUGUUCGUGAAUCAGAGCUGAUGGUACCGUAAGAAUAAGCAUCGGCUAACUCCGUGCCAGCAGCCGCGGUAAUACGGAGGAUGCAGGCGUUAUCGGGAUUCAGGGGGUGUAAAGGGUGCGCAGAGUGAACAGUGAAAGCCUACAGCUUAACUGUAGAACUGCCAUUGAUACUGUUAUUCUUGAGUGUUGUUGAGGUAGGCGGAAUGUGUCAUGUAGCGGUGAAAUGCUUAGAUAUGACACAGAACACCGAUCGCGAAGGCAGCUUACCAAGCAACAACUGACGCUCAUGCACGAAAGCGUGGGGAUCAAACAGGAUUAGAUACCCUGGUAGUC